This 76-nucleotide transfer RNA is filed under the name bacterium. Its description in RNAcentral is "tRNA-Lys". It matches the Rfam family "tRNA". From Rfam's summary of the family: Transfer RNA (tRNA) molecules are approximately 80 nucleotides in length. Their secondary structure includes four short double-helical elements and three loops (D, anti-codon, and T loops). Further hydrogen bonds mediate the characteristic L-shaped molecular structure. tRNAs have two regions of fundamental functional importance: the anti-codon, which is responsible for specific mRNA codon recognition, and the 3' end, to which the tRNAs corresponding amino acid is attached (by aminoacyl-tRNA synthetases). tRNAs cope with the degeneracy of the genetic code in two manners: having more than one tRNA (with a specific anti-codon) for a particular amino acid; and 'wobble' base-pairing, i.e. permitting non-standard base-pairing at the 3rd anti-codon position. The record is from RNAcentral.
CCGCCUAUAGCUCAGCCGGUAGAGCACCUGCCUUUUAAGCAGGGGGUCGUAGGUUCGAUCCCUACUGGGCGGACAA